This 322-nucleotide ribosomal RNA is filed under the name uncultured eukaryote. RNAcentral describes it as "partial 18S ribosomal RNA". It matches the Rfam family "Eukaryotic small subunit ribosomal RNA", at positions 1470 to 1796 of the family's 1831-position model. The record is from RNAcentral.
CCCUUAGAUGUUCUGGGCCGCACGCGUGCUACACUGAGGGGAUCAGCGGGUCAGGUUGCGCGAAAGCGUUUCCUAAUCUUUAAAUCCGCUCGUGAUGGGGAUUGACGGUUGCAAUUUUCUGUCAUGAACGAGGAAUACCUUGUAAGCGCGGGUCAUCAUCCCGCGCUGAAUACGUCCCUGCCCUUUGUACACACCGCCCGUCGCUCCUACCGAUUGAGUGGUCCGGUGAGGCUUUGGGAUCUGAGCGGAAAGAGCGUUUCGCUGUUUCUGCUCGGAAAACUCAGUCGAACCUUAUCAUUUAGAGGAAGGAGAAGUCGUAACA